GGAAAGAGGGAGGAAGGAAGGGCGGCGCUGUGGGCUGCACCGCCCGAAAAGGGGGGGAACUCUUAUUCGACUGCAUGGAUGAACACAGCAGCAGUUUGAUAUUACAGUCUAAUGCAAGAUGAAGUGUCACAGUUCAGUGGAGAUCAAGCCAUGAAGAUUUGAGAAAAAGAGGAUGAAAAGCUACAUUUUGGCUGUUUGACUCUAACGCCAAACCAGUCAUUACGUAGAUCUCCAGCUGUCAACCUGCACCCCUGCUCUCUGAACUUCAGCAGUGAGCAUCGCUGGCAUCUUACCAAAUCCAACGUUGUAAGGUUUUCUCAAAACUGUCCAUGUAUU
Dromaius novaehollandiae (emu) is the source of this 336-nucleotide long non-coding RNA. RefSeq lists it as uncharacterized. The transcript has 3 exons. Lineage: Eukaryota; Metazoa; Chordata; Aves; Casuariiformes; Dromaiidae. The record is from RefSeq and is a predicted model, not a curated record.